RNAcentral lists this ribosomal RNA (497 nucleotides) under uncultured bacterium. RNAcentral describes it as "partial 16S ribosomal RNA". It matches the Rfam family "Bacterial small subunit ribosomal RNA", at positions 28 to 507 of the family's 1533-position model. The record is from RNAcentral.
GAUGAACGCUGGCGGCGUGCCUAAUACAUGCAAGUCGAGCGAACAGACGAGGAGCUUGCUCCUCUGACGUUAGCGGCGGACGGGUGAGUAACACGUGGAUAACCUACCUAUAAGACUGGGAUAACUUCGGGAAACCGGAGCUAAUACCGGAUAAUAUAUUGAACCGCAUGGUUCAAUAGUGAAAGACGGUUUUGCUGUCACUUAUAGAUGGAUCCGCGCCGCAUUAGCUAGUUGGUAAGGUAACGGCUUACCAAGGCGACGAUGCGUAGCCGACCUGAGAGGGUGAUCAGCCACACUGGAACUGAGACACGGUCCAGACUCCUACGGGAGGCAGCAGUAGGGAAUCUUCCGCAAUGGGCGAAAGCCUGACGGAGCAACGCCGCGUGAGUGAUGAAGGUCUUCGGAUCGUAAAACUCUGUUAUUAGGGAAGAACAAAUGUGUAAGUAACUAUGCACGUCUUGACGGUACCGAAUCAGAAAGCCACGGCUAACUACGUG